Molecule: unclassified non-coding RNA, 378 nt
Filed under: plant metagenome
Description: partial contains 5.8S ribosomal RNA, internal transcribed spacer 2, and large subunit ribosomal RNA
Rfam family: 5.8S ribosomal RNA (bases 1-105)
Source: RNAcentral
GAAAUGCGAUAAGUAAUGUGAAUUGCAGAAUUCAGUGAAUCAUCGAAUCUUUGAACGCACCUUGGGCUCCUUGGUAUUCCUUGGAGCAUGCCUGUUUGAGUAUCAUGAAAUCUUCAAAGUAAAUCUUUUGUUAACUCAAUUGGUUUCUACUUUGGUAUUGGAGGUCUUUGCAGCUUCACACCUGCUCCUCUUUGUUCAUUAGCUGGAUCUCAGUGUUAUGCUUGGUUCCACUCGGCGUGAUAAGUUAUCUAUCGCUGAGGACACUGUAAAAGGUGGCCAAGGUAAAUGCAGAUGAACCGCUUCUAAUAGUCCAUUGACUUGGACAAUACUUUUAUGAUCUGAUCUCAAAUCAGGUAGGACUACCCGCUGAACUUAAGC